AAAGUCCUUUUAUCCGAAUGAAAGUACAAUUAGAAAUUGAAAUGACAAACACUACCACGAGAGCAAUAGUAAUCAAUACGGAUAUAAGACGCCGGCACACACAUCACUGCCGGGGCUUGGAUCUGAUACAGCAGUGAAUGUGUUAAUAAAGAUCUACUUACCAAGAAUUCGGUCAUCAUACUGCUAUCGUCGUAUUCAUCCAUUUUCUUCUAGAAUGCUUCCGUCCUGUGAACGGAAACGUAACUUCGAAUAUAAAACCUUCGACGAAACUUAACGCAAUCGUGAAGCAGGCUUUUCCUUCUUCAAAAUACUUGUCCCUUUAAAUUUGAAUAACAUUAAAAGUUUACAAAAUUUACGGUUGAUGAAUUUACGGUUGGUGAUGAUUGCUCAUCACUGUGCUGACAACAAAAUGCGAUCAAAUGGAACCAAACUAUGUUGAAGGUCAAUUAGAAAAAAGUGUGAAAACAUAGUAACGCUCACACAGCCCGACACCUGAUUCAUUCAUCAAACAGCGAAGUGAAGCACAUUUGCGUACGUUGUUAGCAUGAGUGUGAAAUAAGAACAACCUUCUUAUCAGGGCGCCUAGGAAGCACCAGGCACAGAAGAACAUCCAAGAAUCAUCUCGAAAUAUCGCCUUGAAAAAGGCCGUUGCCGUACGGAUUGAUUGAUUCCAAAAAUAAUCAGUCUAGCCCUGGAGCUGCUCACUGAUAGUUGGUUCUGCCGUUUGUGCUCGAUGUGUAACGUGUCUGAUCGGUACAAAAAAUGCCAUCCAUUGCCAUUCUGUUGCUAAUCGUUUGCGGCUUACUCUCACAUUGGGACUUCCUGCUUGCGCAAGAAGUAUCGUUUGCAUGGAGUGUAUUAGACUGGAAAGAGCUCUUUUACGCUGGUGGAGUGCGAGAUGAAUUUAUAAAGAUUGAUUUCUAUAGCCAUCUUUAGGCACCACCAUGCAACUAGCCAUUAUCACUGAACUUUUGUGAUGAGAAGAUAACAAGUUGAAGCUGUACAAACAUGAAGACGAAAUCGUUGCAAAUAGCAGAUAAACGAUGCAUAGGACCAGUGAAACCAAUCAAACAACAACAAAAAAUGGAUUGUAAAAUAUGGAAAAGUUACUUAAAUAGACAAAAACGUGCCGAUCAGUGAAAGACUUAUA
Molecule: long non-coding RNA, 1150 nt
Organism: Anopheles merus
Lineage: Eukaryota; Metazoa; Arthropoda; Insecta; Diptera; Culicidae
Exons: 3
Source: RefSeq, a predicted model, not a curated record